This is a long non-coding RNA of Nematostella vectensis (starlet sea anemone), 930 nucleotides long. RefSeq lists it as uncharacterized. The record is from RefSeq and is a predicted model, not a curated record. The transcript has 2 exons. Lineage: Eukaryota; Metazoa; Cnidaria; Anthozoa; Actiniaria; Edwardsiidae.
CCCUUUCUUGUCACAAUCAUCAAAAGCAAGUUAAAGGUUAGCCCACUAACCCUUUUAUCAAGAGCAAGUUAAAGGUGAGCCUACUAACCCUUUUAUCAAGAGCAAGUUAAAGGUGAGCCUACUAACCCUUUUAUCAAGAGCAAGUAAAAGGUGAGCCCACUAACCCUUUCGUGUCACCAUCACAAUGAGCAAGUUAAAGGUGAGCACACUAACCCUUUCUUGUCACAAUCAUCAAGAGCAAGUUAAGGGUGAGCCCACUGACCCUUUCAUGUCACCAUCACAAUGAGCAAGUUAAAGGUUAGCCCACUAACUCUUUCGUGUCACCAUCACAAUGAGCAAGUUAAAGGUGAGCCAACUAACCCUUUCAUCAAGAGCAAAUUUCAGGUAAGCCCACUAACCCUUUCGUGUCACCAUCACAAUGAGCAAAUUUAAGGUAAGCCCACUAACCCUUUCGUGUCACCAUCAUAAUGAGCAAGUUAAAGGUGAGCCCACUAACCCUUUCGUGUCACCAUCACAAUGAGCAAGUUAAAGGUGAGCCCUAUAACCCUUUUAUCAAGCAAGAGCAAGUUAAAGGUGAGCCCACAAACCCUUUUAUCAAGAGCAAGUUUAAGGUGAGCCCACUAACCCUUUCGUGUCACCAUCACAAUGAGCAAGUUAAAGGUUAGCCCACUAACCCUUUCUUGUCACAAUCAUCAAGAGCAAGUUAAAGGUUAGCCCACUAACCCUUUCAUUAAGAGCAAGUUUUUCGGUGAGUCCACUAACCCUUUCGUUUCAACAACACCAAGAGCAAGUUAGCCCAAUGACCUUUUCUUGUCACCAUAACCAAGGGCAAAUUUAAGAAGAGCCAAUUAACCACAAGGGGUAAAAAGGGAUCUUUGAAUAAUUAUUUGAAUAUUAGGAGGGGGAUGUGAAGAGAGGCUGCAAUGGUCA